Molecule: ribosomal RNA, 297 nt
Filed under: Triticum aestivum (bread wheat)
Lineage: Eukaryota; Viridiplantae; Streptophyta; Magnoliopsida; Poales; Poaceae
Description: partial small subunit ribosomal RNA
Source: RNAcentral
AUGCACUUCAAAUCCUGGACCGGUGCUGAGUUUCUGAUUCCUGAUAGCAACUUUCCUUCCACAAAGGACUGGUGGUUGCAGGCUAGGGCUGCUAUACCCAAGCACGUGCGAAGGAAUUUCGACACGGUGGUUAUCUUGCUGCACUGGAGGGUAUGGAAGGAGAGAAAUGCCAAGAUUUUUGAUCAGGUUGCCAGCUCGCCGAUCAGAAUAUUGGACCUGAUCAAGGAGGACAUGCCAUGUGGAGAGCCGCGGGAUGCAUCAUGGAUCUGCCCACUUAGUUGCAGUUGUGGUGCCUGA